GGAAUUUUCAGAAUUACCGGACAGAUCAGAGUCUUUCACCGACGGAGGGAAAAGAAAAUGAAGAACACAUCGGAACGAAGCAAAACCGGCUACGAUUUUUGGCUCUCAUUCUGCAAUUGUUCAGUCUAAUUGGAAUUAUUUUGCAAUUUUUUGCAAAUGACAUUAUUUUUUUGUUAAACUUACAGAUGAUCCAUUCCUUCCGGCACUUCUCCGUCGCUGCUGCAUCGCAAAGUCUCCGCCGUCCUAUGCGGGUAGUUCAGACAGCCAUUGAUUCUCCAGCAUUUGGUGUAUUCUUCAUAUUAAUGGUGUAGUCAUUGUUAUUUUAACUUGAUAUAUUUGGAGUAGUUCUUUUUCUGCUAAUUCACCGUGUAUUUGAAUUUCCCGCUGUGAAGCUUUAUAUGGAUUCUUUUGGCUCUUUGGUUUAGCGGUUUCGAAUCAUUGGAGUUGCACCUGAAGAAAUUGAUGCACUGCCCAUUCUACAUGUCAAUUGACAAGUUUAAAGGAAUGUUAAUGUAAGCCAAAACGACUAUGAAGCUUGGAAUGGUAAUGCUCAAAUGAUGCAAUUGCUUAGGACACGAUGGUGAUAGUGAGAAGAGGAUGAAGGAAGGUUUAGUUUGAAAUAGAUGUCUAAGUGAAGGUAGGAAUUAAAACGGUCACAAUCAGGAUGAGAACAAAUGACAUAUGAAGCAUAAACUUGAAGCGAUUACCUCAUUUCAAUGGGGGAUGAAGAAAAGGAUUGUGAAGCCACUGGAGAUUAUUUAAUGAAGAGGAUGAUCUCGAUGAUUAUUAUACAGGGAGAAGGGGGAGGAGCUUUUCUCCACCUGGAAAGGUGAGAAUAGUUUCCUCCCUUUCUCUCCCUUCCCAUCUCCUACGUUGUAGGAUAUAUGAAUAGUAGAAGCAUGCUUUGGAGCUGUUCAUGAGGCUGAUUGUAGUCAGGGCAGAAGGAAUGGACUCAGUUAAUAAAAUACAAUUUGAUGAAAGCUUCUUUUAUUUGUCCAUACAACACUCCUUCUUUCCAUCAAGCACAAACCCUGAAUGAGAAAUCAUGCUGUACCGCCUAUACAGAUUAUACAAGUUGCUUCUAUCAUAUUAAUAUUUCGAAAUGGUGGCUUCUAUUCUAUUGUCAAACUCGAGUGAGGAUGGCAACAUUUUUGUAGAGAAAAGACCUUCUCUACAGUGUUUUCGGUGCUUCAGGUAGGACACUGAGAAACAGAGGAACGAGGGAACAUGAUGAUAGGGGGAUCCCAAGCAUAGGAAAAUGAAACUGAAGAACCAGGCUGUACAGUUCCUCCGUUUAUAAGAAGGCAAGUGUCCCUUUGCUUUGACAGAAUCGAUGGAUCAACGGGUUCAAUAGUCUGAAACCCUGGGCAGGACAAGACGAUCUGCUUCUGAGGACAAUUGCAGUUGUUGAUCACUUGAACGUUCCAUUCAGCUUCCAGCAGCAGACCCUGCAACAAAAUACCAACAACUCAAACUGAGAAAGGGAAGAGAAAGCUCUAAAGGAUGAAGAUUGCUGCAAUCAUGGUGUAGAGGUUGAUCAUAGCUGAAGGGAAAUUUUUGCUGCCAGGCAGUGCUUUUGAGAUAAGUGGGUUUAGAAACCAAAUUCUCUGUUUUUAUUAUGCUUACUUUAUCUUAGAAA
Non-coding RNA from Benincasa hispida (wax gourd), 1639 nucleotides. NCBI's taxonomy places the organism in Eukaryota, Viridiplantae, Streptophyta, Magnoliopsida, Cucurbitales, Cucurbitaceae. The record is from RefSeq and is a predicted model, not a curated record.